Molecule: non-coding RNA, 29 nt
Filed under: Rattus norvegicus (Norway rat)
Lineage: Eukaryota; Metazoa; Chordata; Mammalia; Rodentia; Muridae
Source: RNAcentral
UGCUUCUCUUUGAACUUUGAAGUCUCACC